GUCUACUACGGGCUCACCAUAGCCCGUGCUACUUGGAACUUUUGUUCCGAGUGGCUGAAUUUAAAAACAUAACAACCCAGCACCAGCCUGUGAUCACUAGCGCGGUGCCUGCGUAAGGAAUGGGAGUGACCUUGACGCGCUGCUCGGCGGAACCUCCUUACUACUUUUUACAGCGCUGUGAGUUGUCUCUGUCCCUGAAUGCAGUUAUAUGGCCUGGCCUGGAGGUGAGGAUGGGUGUACAAAGCUCUGAUGCAGUUUGUAGAACUGAUACGUGAGGAGGUGCUUGUAGCUGGCCUCGAAUGGAUAAGUAGGAUUCGCCAGAUAAAACAUUCGGGACGCUGCAAGAGAUCGCGUCCUUGCCAUUGUUGAGAAGUCCGGCGAGAGGUCAUGGAGGCCCCUACACCAGCCAGCACAAACACUCACCUGGACACCAUUGGUGGAGAAGAUAGCGGCACGGGUCCCCAGGAGUGCACCACACACCACAAGUGCCCUCACCACACCUGCGUCCGUCCUCCACCGUGUCAUGGUGGCAACUGCCAGUACGGUGGCCAAGGAUGGCUUUAUACCCUCUCCCGAGGUUUGUGUGGGGAGAAGUUCGUGGAGGAGCUUCGUGUCUGGUGAAGAUUACAUGAUGGAACUUCAGGUGUGGAGUUGAACUUCAAGUGUGAAGUAGAACUUCAGUGGUAAAGCAGAACUAAAGUGGUAGUGUAGAACUUCGAGUGUAGUGCAGCUACAUUUUUUUUUUUGUUAAGCCGCAUAGAAGAACUUCACAGGCGUUGAGUGGAACUUCAAGUAGUAGCAAAUAUUGAAGAGACUGCAGGAAUACCUACCUGAUUUCAAGGACCCAUAGACAUGUUCUUAGUGGCGGGUCUUAAGACGCAGAACAGGGAAUUGUAUGGAUACCAUGAUAUAUAUGAGGGAGUACUUGAUUGCAUAUGGCGUGAGUGACGCAAUGUAAGGUGAGUGAUUAUUUUUCUUGUUGAGGAUAUUGUUAUAUGCAAGUUACCCAGCCACAAGCAGUGAGAAGGCUGAGGGUGAAAAAUUGAGCAGCAGCCUAGCACAGUUUAUUUGGUGAAGAACUGCUAUUAUAUAAAUGUUGUUAUUGUUUGUAGAAUCCGAUGAUACUAUGUUGUUUUAUUAUUUCAUUCUUUGUAUUGUCAUAUAAUAAAUGUUUGUCUGUAG
Molecule: long non-coding RNA, 1182 nt
Organism: Procambarus clarkii (red swamp crayfish)
Lineage: Eukaryota; Metazoa; Arthropoda; Malacostraca; Decapoda; Cambaridae
Source: RefSeq, a predicted model, not a curated record